CUACGAGCGGCAGCAGUGGGGAAUAUUGGACAAUGGGCGAAAGCCUGAUCCAGCCAUGCCGCGUGUGUGAAGAAGGCCUUCGGGUUGUAAAGCACUUUCAGUGGGGAAGAAAGCCUUGGGGCUAAUACCCUCGAGGAAGGACAUCACCCACAGAAGAAGCACCGGCUAACUCCGUGCCAGCAGCCGCGGUAAUACGGAGGGUGCGAGCGUUAAUCGGAAUUACUGGGCGUAAAGCGCGCGUAGGCGGUCUGAUAAGCCGGUUGUGAAAGCCCCGGGCUCAACCUGGGAACGGCAUCCGGAACUGUCAGGCUAGAGUGCAGGAGAGGAAGGUAGAAUUCCCGGUGUAGCGGUGAAAUGCGUAGAGAUCGGGAGGAAUACCAGUGGCGAAGGCGGCCUUCUGGACUGACACUGACGCUGAGGUGCGAAAGCGUGGGUAGCAAACAGGAUUAGAUACCCGAGUAGUC
This 464-nucleotide ribosomal RNA is filed under the name Vreelandella stevensii. RNAcentral describes it as "partial 16S ribosomal RNA". It matches the Rfam family "Bacterial small subunit ribosomal RNA", at positions 339 to 795 of the family's 1533-position model. Lineage: Bacteria; Pseudomonadati; Pseudomonadota; Gammaproteobacteria; Oceanospirillales; Halomonadaceae. The record is from RNAcentral.